UCGAACGCUUCUUUUUCCACCGGAGCUUGCUCCACCGGAAAAAGAGGAGUGGCGAACGGGUGAGUAACACGUGGGUAACCUGCCCAUCAGAAGGGGAUAACACUUGGAAACAGGUGCUAAUACCGUAUAACAAUCGAAACCGCAUGGUUUUGAUUUGAAAGGCGCUUUCGGGUGUCGCUGAUGGAUGGACCCGCGGUGCAUUAGCUAGUUGGUGAGGUAACGGCUCACCAAGGCGACGAUGCAUAGCCGACCUGAGAGGGUGAUCGGCCACAUUGGGACUGAGACACGGCCCAAACUCCUACGGGAGGCAGCAGUAGGGAAUCUUCGGCAAUGGACGAAAGUCUGACCGAGCAACGCCGCGUGAGUGAAGAAGGUUUUCGGAUCGUAAAACUCUGUUGUUAGAGAAGAACAAGGAUGAGAGUAACUGUUCAUCCCUUGACGGUAUCUAACCAGAAAGCCACGGCUAACUACGUGCCAGCAGCCGCGGUAAUACGUAGGUGGCAAGCGUUGUCCGGAUUUAUUGGGCGUAAAGCGAGCGCAGGCGGUUUCUUAAGUCUGAUGUGAAAGCCCCCGGCUCAACCGGGGAGGGUCAUUGGAAACUGGAGACUUGAGUGCAGAGAGAGAGAAGUUGGAAUUCCAUUGUGUUAGCGGUUGAAAUGCGUAGAUAUUUUGGAAGGAACCCCCGUGGCGAACGGCGGCUCCUCUGGUCUGUAACUGACGCUGAGGCUCGAUAAGCGUGGGGAGCAAACAGGAUACAUACCCUGGUAGUCCACGCCGUAAACGAUGAAUGCUAAGUGUUGGAGGGUUUCCGCCGUUCGUUGCUGCAGCUAACGGCAUUAAGCACUUCCGCCUGGAGGAGGACGACCGCAGGGUUGAUACUCACAGGCAUUGACGGCUGCCNGCACAACGGUGAGCA
RNAcentral lists this ribosomal RNA (916 nucleotides) under uncultured Enterococcus sp. Its description in RNAcentral is "bacterial SSU rRNA". It matches the Rfam family "Bacterial small subunit ribosomal RNA", at positions 62 to 939 of the family's 1533-position model. Lineage: Bacteria; Bacillati; Bacillota; Bacilli; Lactobacillales; Enterococcaceae. The record is from RNAcentral.